This 716-nucleotide long non-coding RNA is filed under the name Zonotrichia albicollis (white-throated sparrow). Its description in RNAcentral is "lncRNA (ENSZALG00000014599.1)". The record is from RNAcentral. Lineage: Eukaryota; Metazoa; Chordata; Aves; Passeriformes; Passerellidae.
CAGACUCUUCCACCUCACUGGGAAACUGUUCCAGUGCUCUGGAACACCCUCAGUAUAAAGUUCUUCCUCAUGUUGAGGUGGAACUUGUUGUGUUUUAGUUUGUGGCCACUGCUUCUCACCCAGUUGCUGGGCACCACUGAAAAGAGUCUGGCACCAUCCUCUUGGCACCCGCCUUUGGGUUAUUUAUAUGCAUUAAUGAGAUCCCCUCUCCAUCUCUUCUCCUCGGGACUAAACUGGUCCAGCUCCCGCAGUCUCUCCUUGUAAGAGAGUGCUCCAGAUCCCUCAUCAUCUCUGUGCCCUCUGCUGGACCCUCUCCAGCAGCUCCUGGUGUUUUCUGUACCGAGGAGCCCAGACCUGGACCCAGCGCUCCAGAUGUGCCUCACUAGGGCCGAGUAGAGAGGGAGGAGGAUUUAAAGGAGGAGAAGCCAAUGAGCGGCGCCUUUCCUGCCUGGAGUCCCAGACGUGAAGCUGGCUGUGCUCUCCUGGGGACAAGGGGACAACCUGUAAGAAGCAGACGUGGUUCUGAUUUCCUCGGAAGAAGCACAAAAGGAGAUGUCCUGUUCUUUGAAAAUAACUGGAGCCACCGGCAAGAAGCAGCGACGCCGCACCGAACAAGGGAACCACUUCCAGGUUAUCCAAGCAUGCUGCUGAACUGACUUUUGCAGCUGCAUUUUCCAAUGUACCAUGGGAUGCAUCAAAUCCAAGGCUGCCUUCCA